This 80-nucleotide microRNA precursor is filed under the name Sarcophilus harrisii (Tasmanian devil). RNAcentral describes it as "mir-2970 microRNA precursor family". It matches the Rfam family "mir-2970 microRNA precursor family". The record is from Rfam by way of RNAcentral. Lineage: Eukaryota; Metazoa; Chordata; Mammalia; Dasyuromorphia; Dasyuridae.
GUCACUACAGACAGUCAGUAGUUGGUCUAGCGUGACGAGGAAUUCUCAGAUCACCUCUUGGCUGUGAGUGGUGGAGAGAG